RNAcentral lists this ribosomal RNA (495 nucleotides) under uncultured bacterium. Its description in RNAcentral is "partial 16S ribosomal RNA". It matches the Rfam family "Bacterial small subunit ribosomal RNA", at positions 28 to 507 of the family's 1533-position model. The record is from RNAcentral.
GAUGAACGCUGGCGGCGUGCCUAAUACAUGCAAGUAGAACGCUGAAGGAGGAGCUUGCUCUUCUGGAUGAGUUGCGAACGGGUGAGUAACGCGUAGGUAACCUGCCUGGUAGCGGGGGAUAACUAUUGGAAACGAUAGCUAAUACCGCAUGACAACAGUUAUUGCAUGAUAACUGUUUAAAAGGGGCAACUGCUCCACUACCAGAUGGACCUGCGUUGUAUUAGCUAGUUGGUGAGGUAACGGCUCACCAAGGCGACGAUACAUAGCCGACCUGAGAGGGUGAUCGGCCACACUGGGACUGAGACACGGCCCAGACUCCUACGGGAGGCAGCAGUAGGGAAUCUUCGGCAAUGGACGGAAGUCUGACCGAGCAACGCCGCGUGAGUGAAGAAGGUUUUCGGAUCGUAAAGCUCUGUUGUAAGAGAAGAACGAGGGUGAGAGUGGAAAGUUCACACUGUGACGGUAUCUUACCAGAAAGGGACGGCUAACUACGUG